AUCAUUUGCUUUUUAAUUGAAAGCUAGUAUGAAUGAUCUGACGAGAGAAAAACUGUCUCAAUACUUCUCGGAAUUUAAAUUAAAAGGUAAAAUUCUUUUUCCCCUCAAGAGGACGACAAGACCCUAUAAAAUUUUACUUUUACAAAAUCUUACUCUAGAAUCUAUUUAUUUCGACUAAAAGUUUAGCUGGGGCGGCUAAAUUAUCUAUAAACAAAUCAUAACUAAACUUAUUUUAAGAUUUUAAUAAACAUUUUAUUUAACAAAGAACAAAUUACUUUAGGGAUAACAGAGUAAUAUUUUUAGAGAGUCCUUAUCGACAAAAAAGAUUACUACCUCGAUGUUGAAUUGAAAUUCCUAGGCGGAGCAGCCUCCUUCUGCGAAAGUCUGUUCGACUUUUAAAUUUUCACAUGAUCUGAG
Molecule: ribosomal RNA, 417 nt
Filed under: Oxinasphaera tetrodon
Lineage: Eukaryota; Metazoa; Arthropoda; Malacostraca; Isopoda; Sphaeromatidae
Description: partial 16S ribosomal RNA
Rfam family: Bacterial large subunit ribosomal RNA
Source: RNAcentral